This 465-nucleotide ribosomal RNA is filed under the name Vreelandella stevensii. Its description in RNAcentral is "partial 16S ribosomal RNA". It matches the Rfam family "Bacterial small subunit ribosomal RNA", at positions 338 to 795 of the family's 1533-position model. Lineage: Bacteria; Pseudomonadati; Pseudomonadota; Gammaproteobacteria; Oceanospirillales; Halomonadaceae. The record is from RNAcentral.
CCUACGGGUGGCUGCAGUGGGGAAUAUUGGACAAUGGGCGAAAGCCUGAUCCAGCCAUGCCGCGUGUGUGAAGAAGGCCUUCGGGUUGUAAAGCACUUUCAGUGGGGAAGAAAGCCUUGGGGCUAAUACCCUCGAGGAAGGACAUCACCCACAGAAGAAGCACCGGCUAACUCCGUGCCAGCAGCCGCGGUAAUACGGAGGGUGCGAGCGUUAAUCGGAAUUACUGGGCGUAAAGCGCGCGUAGGCGGUCUGAUAAGCCGGUUGUGAAAGCCCCGGGCUCAACCUGGGAACGGCAUCUGGAACUGUCAGGCUAGAGUGCAGGAGAGGAAGGUAGAAUUCCCGGUGUAGCGGUGAAAUGCGUAGAGAUCGGGAGGAAUACCAGUGGCGAAGGCGGCCUUCUGGACUGACACUGACGCUGAGGUGCGAAAGCGUGGGUAGCAAACAGGAUUAGAUACCCGAGUAGUC